Non-coding RNA from Pelobates cultripes (western spadefoot toad), 677 nucleotides. The record is from the annotation of a GenBank genome assembly. NCBI's taxonomy places the organism in Eukaryota, Metazoa, Chordata, Amphibia, Anura, Pelobatidae.
CACACACACAGACAUACUGACAUACACACAGACAGACGUACUGGCACAUACACACAGACAGACAUUAAAACAUUCACAGAUACAUACUGACACACACAUACACUUACACACACACACAGAGACAUACCUACAUACACACACACACAGACAUACUGGCAUACACACAGACAUACUGACACACACACACACACAGACAUACACAGACAUACACACACACACACACACACUGACAUACACACACAGACAUACUGGCAUACACACAGACAUACUGACACACACACACAGAGACAUACUGGCAUACACACAGACAUACUGACACACACACAGACAUACUGGCAUACACACAGACAUACUGACACACACACACACACACAGACAUACUGGCAUACACACAGACAUACUGACACACACACACAGACAUACACACACAGACAUACUGACACACACACACUGACAUACACACACAGAGAUACUGGCACAUACACAGACAUACACACACAGACAGACCUACUGACAUACAUUUAGCCACCCUCCAGGUUCUUACCUUUUCCUGGAGGGUGGUUUCCCUGGUCCAGUGGCAGGCUGAGGCAGAUGGGAGUUCUCCUCUUGAACUCCCCUCCUCCCUGCCUUCCUCCUCCCGCGCGGCUAUCUCCGGUGGGAGGAAGUGACGUCACUCC